UACGAAGGGGGCUAGCGUUGCUCGGAUUGACUGGGCGUAAAGGGCGCGUAGGCGGCUUGUACAGUCAGACGUGAAAUUCCUGGGCUCAACCUGGGGGCUGCGUUUGAUACGUAUGGGCUUGAGUUCGGAAGAGGGUCGUGGAAUUCCCAGUGUAGAGGUGAAAUUCGUAGAUAUUGGGAAGAACACCGGUGGCGAAGGCGGCUCACUGGCCCGGUACUGACGCUGAUGUGCGAAAGCGUGGGGAGCAAACAGG
RNAcentral lists this ribosomal RNA (253 nucleotides) under uncultured bacterium. Its description in RNAcentral is "partial 16S ribosomal RNA". It matches the Rfam family "Bacterial small subunit ribosomal RNA", at positions 524 to 776 of the family's 1533-position model. The record is from RNAcentral.